GUGGGGAAUAUUGGACAAUGGGGGCUACCCUGAUCCAGCCAUGCCGCGUGAGUGAUGACGGCCUUCGGGUUGUAAAGCUCUUUUACAUGGGAAGAUAAUGACGGUACCAUGAGAAUAAGCACCGGCAAACUUCGUGCCAGCAGCCGCGGUAAUACGAAGGGUGCAAGCGUUGUUCGGAAUUACUGGGUGUAAAGGGCGUGUAGGCGGAUUAGUUAGUUAGUGGUGAAAUCCUUGGGCUCAACCUGAGAACUGCCAUUGAUACAGCUAGUCUGGAGUAUUAGAGAGGAUGACGGAAUAUCCAGUGUAGAGGUGAAAUUCGUAGAUAUUGGAUAGAACACCGGUGGCGAAGGCGGUCAUCUGGCUAAUUACUGACGCUGAGGCGCGAGAGCGUGGGGAGCAAACAGGAUUAGAAACCCUUGUAGUCC
This 425-nucleotide ribosomal RNA is filed under the name uncultured bacterium. Its description in RNAcentral is "partial 16S ribosomal RNA". It matches the Rfam family "Bacterial small subunit ribosomal RNA", at positions 354 to 796 of the family's 1533-position model. The record is from RNAcentral.